RNAcentral lists this small RNA (31 nucleotides) under Bombyx mori (domestic silkworm). RNAcentral describes it as "ovarian small RNA-9583". Lineage: Eukaryota; Metazoa; Arthropoda; Insecta; Lepidoptera; Bombycidae. The record is from RNAcentral.
UUCCGAGGGUCCACGCCCCCGAAUUGGCGAU